RNAcentral lists this transfer RNA (72 nucleotides) under Pseudomonas cannabina. RNAcentral's name for it is "tRNA_Arg_TCT". It matches the Rfam family "tRNA". From Rfam's summary of the family: Transfer RNA (tRNA) molecules are approximately 80 nucleotides in length. Their secondary structure includes four short double-helical elements and three loops (D, anti-codon, and T loops). The record is from RNAcentral. Lineage: Bacteria; Pseudomonadati; Pseudomonadota; Gammaproteobacteria; Pseudomonadales; Pseudomonadaceae.
GUCCUUUUAGUUCAAGGGAUAGAACAGACCCCUUCUAAGGGUUAGAUGCUGGUUCGAAUCCAGCAAGGGACA